This 408-nucleotide ribosomal RNA is filed under the name uncultured bacterium. RNAcentral describes it as "partial 16S ribosomal RNA". It matches the Rfam family "Bacterial small subunit ribosomal RNA", at positions 28 to 526 of the family's 1533-position model. The record is from RNAcentral.
GACGAACGCUGGCGGCGUGCUUAACACAUGCAAGUCGAACGGAGUGGCGAACGGGUGAGUAACACGUGGGUGAUCUGCCUUGCACUUCGGGAUAAGCUUGGGAAACUGGGUCUAAUACCGGAUAGUGCAAGAUGAGCUCGCGGCUUAUCAGCUUGUUGGUGGGGUAAUGGCCUACCCAGGCGUCGCCGGGUAGCCGGCCUGAGAGGGUGUACGGCCACAUGAGGGCUGAGAUAGGGCCCAGACGCCAACGGGGGGCAGCAGGGGUGAAUAUGGCACAAUGGGCGGAAGCCUGAUGAAGCGACGCUGGGUGGGGGAUGAAGGCUUUCGGGUUGUAAACUCCUUGCGACAGGGACGCGGUACCUGUAUAAGAAGCACCGGCUAACUACGUGCCAGCAGCCGCGGUAAUAC